Molecule: ribosomal RNA, 476 nt
Filed under: uncultured soil bacterium
Lineage: Bacteria
Description: bacterial SSU rRNA
Rfam family: Bacterial small subunit ribosomal RNA
Source: RNAcentral
AGGACGAACGCUGGCGGCGUGCUUAACACAUGCAAGUCGAGCGGUAAGGCCCUUCGGGGUACACGAGCGGCGAACGGGUGAGUAACACGUGGGUAACCUGCCCUGUACUCUGGGAUAAGCCUGGGAAACUAGGUCUAAUACCGGAUAUGACCUGACAUCGCAUGGUGUUGGGUGGAAAGUUCCGGCGGUACAGGGAUGGACCCGCGGCCUAUCAGCUUGUUGGUGGGGUAAUGGCCUACCAAGGCGACGACGGGUAGCCGGCCUGAGAGGGCGACCGGCCACACUGGGACUGAGACACGGCCCAGACUCCUACGGGAGGCAGCAGUGGGGAAUAUUGCACAAUGGGCGAAAGCCUGAUGCAGCGACGCCGCGUGAGGGAUGACGGCCUUCGGUUGUAAACCUCUUUCAGUAGGGACGAAGCGCAAGUGACGGUACCUACAGAAGAAGCACCGGCUAACUACGUGACCAGCAGCCGC